This is a long non-coding RNA of Papaver somniferum (opium poppy), 5338 nucleotides long. RefSeq lists it as uncharacterized. The transcript has 5 exons. NCBI's taxonomy places the organism in Eukaryota, Viridiplantae, Streptophyta, Magnoliopsida, Ranunculales, Papaveraceae. The record is from RefSeq and is a predicted model, not a curated record.
AAAAAACGUAGAACAAAACCUAAAAAAAAUUCUUCUUCUGCCUUCUUCUCCUCUAUUCACCACCAAAAAAAUUCUUUCUCCAUCGCGAUGGUUCAUUCAUCCCGUCUAUUUGGUUCUCCGUCCUUUCUUCUUCUUGAUUCUCUCUGUUUUUUCUGAUUUACUAUUGAUUUGUUUUGUUUUUCUGUCGCAGGUGAUAUACUUUGAUAUGGAAUUCGAAAAGGGGACUAAUUCUUUUACCAUGUAAUUCUCAAAAGGAUCAAAUACGAUUCAUAAUUUGUUGGUAAAUCCUAACCCUAAUGUGUUUGAUUUUAUUUUCCAGGUACGUUAUUUUCUCAAAAAGAUUCAUAGUUUGUUGGUAAACCCUAACCUUAAUUUGUUGGUAAACCCUAACCUUAAUUUCUUCUUUUUUUGAGUUUUUGGUUGUACCAAUGCUCUGAUGGGAUGGGUUCAUCAUAUAUAUUCUUAGUGUUUGCUUAAUAGUAAAAAUCGCAGGAUUAUAGAAAGUUAUUGUUUUGCUUGAACAACAGUAAUGAGGCUAAACCUCCACAGUACUUUUUAUUUCCCAUGAAUUUCACUGAAAAGGUAUGAGCUUUGCAACAACACCCUAACCCUAUUUUGCAUUUCUUUAUUUCUUCUCAUAAUUUUCGCUUUGAUAUUUGAUUGUAUAAGUGUUGUUAUGGUGAUAGAAGCGUAGAAAUUGGAAACACGACCAGGAAAAUACGAGCUUUGUGAGUACACAAAUUGUACAUAUAUUUUCAAUAAAAAAAAAUCAUUGAUCUCACACCUUAUUUACUAUUCGUAAACCCUCACCCUAAUCUAUAAACCAAAUCUUUUGUUUUGUUUUGUUUUGUUUUUUCAAGAGAUUAAUGUUGAUUCAAGGUUUUGUGUAUUUAGAAAGAAGAAAUCCAGGGUAUUAUGAACCAAGGUCCUAAAAGUUUGGGACAAAAUUGGCUUACCAUUAGAAGUUUCUGGGUCUUUAUGGAGACACUCAGUCAAUCAAGAACGCUUAGAAACAGCAUUCAAAGCUCCUCAUGUGCCACAGGGGCUCUUUUCAUAUUCGAUGGGUGCAUAUCCAGCAGCGCAAAACGUGUGGCCCGCAGGUUAUGGAUCUCGACCACAUGCUUGGAACCAGGCUUCCACGUGCAUAGAGACAACAAUGGAACACUGGAUACACUCAACAGGCGGGAAUUCAUAGUAAAUGUUAACUUUUUAUUUUUUUUGCAAUUCAUAAUUCUCACUGCCCAUGCUCAUUCAUUUGAUUCCUGGGACACUGUUAGCUCAGGAUAAAGGUUUAGUGGUUUAAUUUUUGUGUAACUGAGGUUAUGUAUGUUCUAAGUUGCAUUCUUAGCGAAGAAGGAGAUAAGCAAGGGAACAUGAAGCGUUAGAUAAAAAUGCAUAAGCUGCUUGGUGGUAAAAGAUAAGGAAAGGGAGAAAGAAAAUCAUAAAAUCAUACAAAGAUUGACCGAAAAAUUAUGAAUUAGGUAAAUUCUAUUUAGAUUUAAUUCUUCUGAUUCAUGUAUGUGGUUUGUUCAACCAUUUCAUAUAUAUGGCCACUUAGCUUAUAUAUACAUUUUCUACAUUAAUAGAGACGAGUUAGUGAUCUUUGUUUGAGAGUAUGUUACAUUAGUUAAUACUUUGAAGUCUUUGACAGAAUAUAGUAUAUCUUUAUUGGAUUCCUUACGUUGAUCUCACUACCGGGAUGAGGUUUACGCAUACAUAUCAACGGUAGAAAGCAAAGUAAAGUAAAGCAAAUAUCAUGGUCUUUUUUUCUCCACUGCCGAUUAUUAGUAGUAAGGACUGAUUUUUUCUUAUGCACGGAUGUGUAGUAUUUACUUUUUGGUUGAAGUUGUUGGUUGUUGACCGUGUUGAUAGGGAUAUUAGUAUUACUGCAUAUGGAUAGGGUACUAGGUUCUCAGUUCUACACAGUGCCUGAUGUUGCCAUCAUUCGUAUGACCAGUCCAAAUUGAAUUGUGUUAGUAUUCUUCAAUCUUUUUCAUUUUACUAUUGAAGCAGAAGGUAAAAUUCUUCAAUUUUUUUUAAUAUAUUCCCAUUAAAAGAGUUGACUGUGCAUCAAGCUAUUAGCUAUCAUUACCCUGAACUAACAAAAAAAAAGGUUCAAAACAAGUUGAUUGUGUAUUAGAUCAACCAAUUUCCAGUUUCUUGAACAUUUAUACAGAAUACAUCUUUUGUUUAAGGGCAGCAAAGUAAAGUAAAGCAAAUAUCAUGGCCUUCUUUUCUCCACUGCCGAUUAUUAGUAGUAAGGACUUAUUUUUUCUUAUGCACGGAUGUGUAUAGUAUUUAAUUUUUAGUUGAAAUUGGUGGUUGUUGUCCGUGUUGAUAGGGAUGUUACUAUUACUACAUAUGGACAGGGUACUAGGUUCUCGGUUCUAGACAGUGCCUGAUGAUGCCAUCAUUUGUAUGACCAGUCUAAACUGAAUUGUGUUAGUAUUCUUCAUUUUUUUUUUUUACUAUGGAAGCAGAAGGUAAACUUCUUCAAUCUUUUUUUUUUAUAUACUUUCCAUUAAAAGAGUUGAUUGUGCAUCAAGCUAUUAGCUAUCAUUACCUGAACUAACAAAAAAAGGUUCAAAACAAGUUGAUUAUGUAUUGGAUCACGAAAUUUCCAGUUUCUUGAACAUUUAGCCAGAAUGCAGCUUUUGUUUAAGGGCAGCAACGGGUUUGUCUAUUUAAGUUUUUUGUUUUUAACUCUUCAUUGAUCUACUUCUUUUGUCAGGUUGAUUUUAAAGGUACUGCGGAUGCAUUAAUAACAAUUUAGGGUUUUUAUUUGUCAUAUACCAGAAAUUGUGUCUUACUUGGUUAACUAGCCUUUGGUCAUCCAUAGAUUUCUCAUCUCCCUCCACAAAAAAUAUCAGAUUUUUAAUGGAUUUGAACUUCAAAUUGUUUUGAUUUCUCAUAUACCAGAAAUUCAUGGUUUUUAUUUCUCAUAUACCAGAAAUUGGGUCUUACUUGGUUAACUAGCAGUUGGUCAUUCAUGGAUUAAUUCUAUGUUCUCAUCUCCCUCCAAAAAAAAAUAAUAGAUGUUUAAUGGAUUUGAACUUCAAAUUGUUCUUCUAAUGGUGUUGUUGAUAAGAAGGAGAAAAAGGAAAAAGAUUGUAUCUUUCGUACCAUUAUUCGUGCAAAAUCCCAAGCAAAGUGAUUUGAUCAUUUUUUUUUUCUUUAUUUAAGCAUGUAUAUACGCUUAUUAAAAAUCCCACGAACUCCAGAAACCAUGUAUGCUUAUUAAGAUUUAUUUCACUCUUGCACAGUCUAUAUGUAUAUGAAGUAGAGUUGCAGAAACCAUGUAUGCUUAUUAGAAUACUGGAGUGACAUAUUAAGUUCUUACAAAUGCAUGUUUUUAUCUUUCCAAGAGCAUAUAAAGAGUUCUCUGUUUCCGUAGUUACGUUUGUAUUUGGAAACAAAAUCUACAAAUUUAGACUAUUGAUUCAGGUGUUUAUCUAUUAUAGAGUAAUUUUAAAGAGAAUGCGAAAGGAACAUAAAGGUUUUGCACUGUCGCAAUAUGCAAGAAAAUUAUCAGGAACGUUAGGUGAUUGCAAUCCCGUUGUUAUUUUUUAUGAAGGAUUAUUAGUAUAGUCACUGUUACUUAGUCAUCUUUAAGGAUCUCAUCAAAAAACAAUUGGAAGAGAGUGCAUCUUUGAAAGCCGAGGUGCUAGCUUUUCUGAGGUGGGAAUAGAUCAGGCAUGCCUUCUCUUUUAAUGUACUUUAAGACUUGACUCAUGGAUAUUGCCACCGAAAUGGACUAUGCAAAGUACAUUGUAUAUAACUGUGAAAUGUAUGUCCACGGUGCAAAAAUUGCCACUACUAACCAACAUUAAACUCGCUUUAUAUGUGAACUGUACUCGCUUUUGUUAUUAUUCUUUUUGUUUUUGUUUGAUUGUUAAAACUUAACAUUCUAAUGUGAUUUUAAUGACUACUGCAGUGCAGCCACCGCAAAAAUUAAGUAUAACUGCUACUAGAUGCAACUUAUGAUGCAGCCACUGCAAAAGUUAAGUAUAACUGCUAAUGGAUGCAACCUAUGAAUGUGGAUAUUUUUCAUUUCAGUAGUUACAAGCCAGCCUAGCUCUACCAUCUGCCAAUUCUAAUGGCAGAGAUUCAAUUUUCUGAAAGUAAUCAUAAAGUUCUUGUUUCAAUUAUAAAAAAAUGCAAUUUGAAUCUAUUCGGUUUUUUGCUUCUUAGUUUUUUUCUUUAUCAUCAAGGCCAUCGAGAAGUCAUGCUUUGGUCAUUCUCUGAAUGAGAUACAUGAAAUGUCUUCUGACAAUGCUCAUGUCAUCCAAGACAAGGUAAGUUUACUCAUCAUAGUAACGAAAAUUUACAGUACGUUGAAUUCUACUAAUACACUUCUCAUAUAACUAAUGUGGAUCUCUUACGUUCCAUUUUCUCCUAUUUAACCUUGCAUAUUUGUUGUUAUAUCCACGGUAUUGCACUAUUUAACUCGUGUAAUCCAUACGAGACUCCAACAGUCUCCAAUUCGGUCCUCAAAAUCCAUCAGCUGAUGUCGUACCAGGAACUUUAAGAACGAUCGAUGAAUAAAAGAAAGAUUAAAGGCAGAGUUCAAGAGACGAGUACAAGGUGUGUCUGGCAUUGGCUUGGACAAGUUUAGAAGACAACACGCAAACAAGGUACGGUGCUGGUGAUAUGUUAACAAUGGGUGUUGACAAGGUUUGGUGGUUGUAUUUUGCAGUUGUACGGUGCUGGGGAACGAUCUAUUGAAGGAUAUCGACUGCGUUUAAGCCGAUAAACUGGCGAGAAAGGAGGGUCCAUGGACUGCUGCUGCCACUGAUUUCGUGUGGAAAAAUGGUGAUGAACGGAGAGGAUCAUGAGGUUGUUCUGAGAUGGAAUUCAGUAAGGAUGAUGGAUGGAUAUACAAAGAUUGUUGCUAUGAUUCAGGGAUUCAGGGAUUUGACCUAAAAUUGGCGUUGGUCGUGAUGGCUGUUACCAGUAUUAAGAGUGCAGUCAGUGAUAGUGAUAAGACAUGUAUGCUGAUUUAGGUCAUAAUUCAGUUGGAUUUGAAUUCAGGUUCAAGGAGAAAGGGAAGUGAACAGCUGCAAAGAAAAUUCUUUUUCUUCCCUCUUUUCUUCCACCGGUGGAGCAAACCCUAACUUCUUCUUCUUCUUUUUUUAAAUAAUUUUGAUUAGGGUUUGCUUUUCUUGCAAAUACUUUGCUGCCAUUUUUUUCUGCCUUUUGUGCAAGUGAAUUUAUGGUAACCUAAACGGAUAAACCUAUUCUCUUAUGAGUGAAAAAAACUGGGUUUGCUUUUUUUAGUUUUAUUAAGAAAUUGAUUGCACUUAAAAAUUGAAAGUGCAGCAUUAUUGCUUUAACAGUA